CCACCUGCACAAAUACAAUGUGAAACUGAACUAAAAUCGUUGCUUUGCUACCUUAAUGCCCAUCUGCUUAAACCUACCAGGCUAUAAGUGUAGAAUGGUUCACAGGAUCUAUUAUCACCUACUCUCUCAUUGCUUCUGUACCUGGGAAUACUCAACAACACUCAUACGGACAGCAGACCAAUUGUGUGAAUGACGCCUCCAAGAGUUGGUAUUUGGAACUGUGAUGUAUUCAUCAAGAAAUAGGCAUUAGCUCUUCAUUUAUCACCUCAAUACAACCAACAACGAAGAGUGAUGGGAACUGUAGAUUCUUCAACUCUAGGCAGAAGCUAGUCAAGAAGUCAAAUGACCAAGAGGAACCAAUCCCCAGCCACUUCCACAUUGCUUCUUCUGGUCUGUCUGCUUGUCUACCACUGCCCAUUGCUGCUCUAUUAGAGCUGUUUUUCAUUGUUUUGUGGAAGGAGGCUGUGUAGAUUGCCUAAGCCAAAGAACCUCCUAAUUAAUUUUGCUAUUGGUUGCUAAUGGAUCCCUCUGUCCAUUUAUUUCCAUGUAUAAUUGUAAAAUAACUACCAUACAGCAAUCUCAGUAACUAGCUACUCUUUGCAAGAAGGUUCGAUCAAGGAGCAUUGAAGUACGAAAGCAUCACAUUAUAGUCUUGGUUGCCACAUCCCUCCACCAACUUGGAACAAUCCCCAAGUUUACAAGCAUGCUGGGGCCAUACUUAGUUUGGUGGCACAGGAGAAAAAAACAAAAUGUUCGGCCAUAAAUCAUGAAUGGGAAAAGCUUCUAUGCAAAUGACCCCUUGGUUUUCACGUCAGACGGCUCUGUUUGCAAGCUUCUCGGGAGGAUUUGAUUGCUGCAGGAAAAAAGGAACCACAACGCACCCAAACAAUGCAGUUAGCUCUCCUGACAAAAGCUAAAGGAAGUCUGUUCUGUGCUGCACAGCUGCAGAAUAUUAGCCUCUAAGACUUCUGUGGCAUUAAAACCCAAGGCCGACACACCCAUAUUUACAGCACAUAAUGUACUGUACUGUGACCUGUGCCAAGAAACUUAACCUAUCUACUUUGGCAGAAAAACCAAGUCAUACCAGGUUAAUCCGAUUCUUAAAUUGCACAACUUCUAUACAACUGGAGGGAAACCAAACCCUUCCUUUCCCCCUCCUUCCAAUUUUUCUCUCUCAGUUCCCUUCCCAACCAGCACAGUGGCCUCAUUUUUCUCCCUGCUGAGUGCUUGCAUCUCACUUCCAAAACAAUAACAACAAGCAUAGCUGUCCUUAAUUCCUUCGGUAUUUCCCAAAUGGAUUAUUAGAAAAGAAGUGCACAGCCUGGGGAAUGCCAGUGAGCAUGAAUGAUGGGCAUAUUCCUCACUUGUGACACGCAGAAGAGCUCUGGUAAGACAAAAUAUCCAAAUUUAAACUCUGCAAAGCUCACUGAACUAUUAUUUCGAGGAAGCAUAAUUAGGAAGGAGACUCCUCACUUUUUAUUUAUUUAUUAGGACACUGUCCCUUUUACAUCCAUGCAUGUGCCUCUUUCAAGCAUCCUCUAAUUGCAAGGACCAUGCAUGUCUUCCUCCUUUAACCCUGCCUUGUUCUAAUUUUACUUGAUUUUUAAUGCUGAAAUGGCUGAUAAUAAAGCGUUCAUCAUGUUAAUUUCCCAAUUUCAGAAUUCACUGCAAUAGUACUACCCACUGCCUCCUACCCCUGAAACAGCUUGUCACUUCCCCAAAUAAAAGAGACUUAGUUCAGACACAAGCCUGAAUUUAUAACCGAAGAAUUGUACCAAGCAGGGAAUCAAUAUUUGUUUUGCAUAAAAAAGCUGGAUGUAUUUCUUGCCGUUGCAAGUACCUGAUGCUUUCUUCUCUAAAUACACAACAGAGCACACUGUUGGGUGGCCACCAACUUAUCUAGAACCUUUAACUGCUACCAACGGAGUUUAGAUUAAAGGAAAGCCUACUACUGCAUAACACAUUAUGUCAGGAUGAGAGUUGAGCCUGUAUAUUUGAAAUAAGAAUGAUACAAUCCCUAGGUUGCAUGGAAUCAUUUCAUUGUGGGGGGGGGGGUAUAUGUUUGUUAUGUAUGUUGUUGUGAGCCACCCAGAGUUAUGUUAAUGGGAGAUCAUAAUAAAAGACACAUCAAUA
Molecule: long non-coding RNA, 2133 nt
Organism: Thamnophis elegans (Western terrestrial garter snake)
Lineage: Eukaryota; Metazoa; Chordata; Lepidosauria; Squamata; Natricidae
Exons: 2
Source: RefSeq, a predicted model, not a curated record